This 76-nucleotide transfer RNA is filed under the name Alphaproteobacteria bacterium. RNAcentral describes it as "tRNA-Phe". It matches the Rfam family "tRNA". Rfam says of the family: Transfer RNA (tRNA) molecules are approximately 80 nucleotides in length. Their secondary structure includes four short double-helical elements and three loops (D, anti-codon, and T loops). Lineage: Bacteria; Pseudomonadati; Pseudomonadota; Alphaproteobacteria. The record is from RNAcentral.
GCCCAGGUAGCUCAGUUGGUAGAGCAGCGGACUGAAAAUCCGCGUGUCGCUAGUUCGAUUCUAGCCCUGGGCACCA